GGCCGGGAAAUCGGCAAUUAGAUGAGCCUAUGUUAGAUUAGCUAGUUGGUAGGGUAAAGGCCUACCAAGGCGAUGAUCUAUAGCUGGUCUGAGAGGAUGAUCAGCCACACUGGAACUGAGAUACGGUCCAGACUCCUACGGGAGGCAGCAGUGGGGAAUAUUGGACAAUGGGCGCAAGCCUGAUCCAGCUAUGCCGCGUGAGUGAGGAAGGCCCUAGGGUUGUAAAACUCUUUCAGUAGGGAAGAUAAUGACGGUACCUAUAA
This 263-nucleotide ribosomal RNA is filed under the name Anaplasma phagocytophilum. RNAcentral describes it as "partial 16S ribosomal RNA". It matches the Rfam family "Bacterial small subunit ribosomal RNA", at positions 196 to 484 of the family's 1533-position model. The record is from RNAcentral. Lineage: Bacteria; Pseudomonadati; Pseudomonadota; Alphaproteobacteria; Rickettsiales; Anaplasmataceae.